UGGGGAAUAUUGCACAAUGGAGGGAACUCUGAUGCAGCGACGCCGCGUGAACGAAGAAGGCUUUCGAGUCGUAAAGUUCUUUUAUAUGGGAAGAUAAUGACGGUACCAUAAGAAAAAGCCCCGGCUAACUACGUGCCAGCAGCCGCGGUAAUACGUAGGGGGCUAGCGUUGUCCGGAAUCACUGGGCGUAAAGGGUUCGCAGGCGGAAAUGCAAGUCAGGUGUAAAAGGCAGUAGCUUAACUACUGUAAGCAUUUGAAACUGCAUAUCUUGAGAAGGGUAGAGGUAAGUGGAAUUUUUAGUGUAGCGGUGAAAUGCGUAGAUAUUAAAAAGAAUACCGGUGGCGAAGGCGACUUACUGGGCUCAUUCUGACGCUGAGGAACGAAAGCGUGGGUAGCAAACAGG
This 403-nucleotide ribosomal RNA is filed under the name Verrucomicrobiota bacterium. Its description in RNAcentral is "Verrucomicrobia bacterium partial 16S ribosomal RNA". It matches the Rfam family "Bacterial small subunit ribosomal RNA", at positions 355 to 776 of the family's 1533-position model. Lineage: Bacteria; Pseudomonadati; Verrucomicrobiota. The record is from RNAcentral. RNAcentral also lists the same sequence under 1 other name.